UAUUUAUUAGUUUAAAUUAAAACAUUAUAUUUUCAAUAUAAAAAUAAUAUUUAUUUUUAAANUAA
Molecule: transfer RNA, 65 nt
Filed under: Aphis spiraecola
Lineage: Eukaryota; Metazoa; Arthropoda; Insecta; Hemiptera; Aphididae
Description: tRNA-Glu
Source: RNAcentral